ACAAUCUUAUUUAGUUACAAAACUAUAUAAUAGUGCAAUUUUAAUGCUCUAACUCCACUAAUUAUAACUUUAGCCAUGUUGUUUCUUAUUCUUUUUAGAGUGCCAGCUGGUGAUCAUAUUUGAUCUGGUGCAGAGCAGUCUUAGUUUCUUGCGACAGUCAAAACUGGAUGUAGAAAAAAGUGCUUUGCAGUUAUCACUGGAAAGACCUCUUGAUACAGCCAUUCUUUCGAGCCUCACUGGUGUUCGCUCCAACAUGGCUAACCAGUGGCAUAGUACACUUCGACAAAAUGCUGCAAAACUGGACACAAUAUUUGAAAAUCUACUGAAGCUGGGGCAGACGGCUGGCCAGUCAGUGCGUGCUGUCCAAAAGCGUGGAAUGCAGAAUGAACCUAUAGAAGCAGAGGAGCUUCCCAGAUCAGCCAUUAACAAUGAAUGUGCAUUUUUUCACUUUCCCUAUGCUUUUUCCAUGGUUAUACUAUGCAUUUACCACAGUUUGCCCUGGUUUGCCAUGUUUUUAUUUAAUAUGUUUUACCAUACCUCAUUGUGCUUUAUAAUGCUUACCUCAGCUUUGCCAUGCUUUCACUGUGCUUUAUUACACGUGUUUUGGUUUUAUUUAAGU
Acipenser ruthenus (sterlet) is the source of this 619-nucleotide long non-coding RNA. RefSeq lists it as uncharacterized. The record is from RefSeq and is a predicted model, not a curated record. NCBI's taxonomy places the organism in Eukaryota, Metazoa, Chordata, Actinopteri, Acipenseriformes, Acipenseridae. The transcript has 3 exons.